UAGAUGCUGGAAUAACUUUUCAAAGUUUAAAAUAUUUGUCAAAAGAAGACAUUGCGGAAGCAGUAAAAAAUAUUGGUCUUCGAGCAGAGUUUAGAGAAAAGUUGUUUUUCUGGCGCAAGUGAAAGUUUGGAAUAGAAGACGAAACGUUGAGCCAGACUUCAAAAGUUGUUGGUUGGCUAGAAAAAAACCGUCACAAAGAUUCACCUUGUUCUUCAAAUAAUUCAAUAAGAAACGCAUUUGGAUCACAGCCCCUUUCAACAUUUUUAAACGAUAACUCAGCCGGAAAACAACUUAUUCAAUAUUAUGAGGAAUGGGCAUGUUUUACGAAUAAGCAACGCGAUGCCCUCAUUAAAAUAAUUUUAGAAGAUGUCAUGUUAACAAAGACAAAGCUUAGACCAGAACACUUUGCUGUUUUGUGGAAGAAAUAAUUGGUUUAUUUCCCAAUUAAAAAGAGUCCCAGGUAUUAUUAAAAACGAUAUAUCUUUUUCGAGUGAAGUACGUGAUCUAUUAGUAGACGAAAAUGUUGAAGUUGACGAAACGCUGUCGUUAUGUUUAAAACCUUCGCUUCAAAAAGAUAUCAAUAAUUGGGAUGAGGUUAUUGACAAAUGGCAAAAAAACAUUUACAUUUCGGAAAAAGGAUUUGGCAAAGCUUUCGAAUUCUGAUUUUUGCAAGAGUGGCCAAUUUUAAAAGCCUCCAGAGCACCAUUUCUGAUUAAUCUAGAUUUCAAUUUGAUUUAUCCAGCAAAAGAUAAUCGUUUAAAAACAAAGUGGGAUAAUUUUAAAACCAAGAUAGUGAACUACUACUAUGCCAACAUACGGAAUCAGCAAUCAAUAGAUCUUUUGAACCAAGCAAAAACGAGGAAAAAAAUUGAUUUUCAAGACUACAUUUUUACAAUUCUUCUCAAUUCAGUUUUGCUGCCUUCAGCAAGAUUUAGUGUAGAUGGAAAUACAAAAAAGAAAGCCACCAUUAAAGAUGCUAAUGAAAGCUUCGUAUUGCAGUUAACAACAAUUAGCGAUUACUCAAUACGAAUAAAAGAAAUUAUCGGUAAAUAUUUUUAUAAUAAAUUGACUGUACAGCCGUUUAUAAUUGUGGUAGGAGACUCUGAGGACAAUCUAAAAACCUUUUACAUUUACUUUGUACAAACUAAAUUCUUUUAUUGAAAGUUUGGAUAUAUGCUUUAAAAUCUUUCACGUGUUUAAUCUUAAAUAUACUAAGAUCUGCGAAAUGCCAUGGAUAUUUAUCCAAAAGUAUUUUUAUGAAUUAGAUUCAAAAUUUGAUUUAAAAAGUUCAAAUCUUACUUCAUUGUUAACACAUAUGAAUGAAAAAAAUUAAAUUUUUCGAUUGUAAUAAUGUAUAAAUGUUUCAGAUGUUUUCUAAUUUCGAUCUUGAUAAGUUAACAAAUUUAAUUAAAGCACAUCAUCAAUUAUAUAUUCUACUUUACGGUAAUUUGAAACCUAAGCAUCAUUUUUUGGUGCACUACCCACAAGCAAUUGAGAAAUGUGGUCCUCUCAAGUUUGUCUGGGCAAUGCGUUUCGAGGCAAAACAUAAAGAUGCAAAAAUAUAUUUUAACAAUAUAACAUCUCGAGUAAAUCCUGCUUAUACAGCGGCUAUGAAAAGUUCUUUUUGUUUUUCAAAUUUUUCACAUAAGUAUAAAGAUGGGUUUCCGCAUGCUUUUAACACUGAAACAUUUAUUACA
Zeugodacus cucurbitae (melon fly) is the source of this 1697-nucleotide long non-coding RNA. RefSeq lists it as uncharacterized. The transcript is spliced from 5 exons. Lineage: Eukaryota; Metazoa; Arthropoda; Insecta; Diptera; Tephritidae. The record is from RefSeq and is a predicted model, not a curated record.